This 521-nucleotide ribosomal RNA is filed under the name Acanthosoma expansum. Its description in RNAcentral is "partial 16S rRNA". The stretch from base 394 to 521 matches the Rfam family "Bacterial large subunit ribosomal RNA", at positions 2473 to 2600 of the family's 2925-position model. The record is from RNAcentral. Lineage: Eukaryota; Metazoa; Arthropoda; Insecta; Hemiptera; Acanthosomatidae.
GGCUUAUUGUAUAUUUAUAUUAAGUCUUACCUGCUCAAUGAUAAAUUAUUAUUAAAUAGCCGCAGUAUUUUGACUGUGCAAAGGUAGCAUAAUCAUUUGUCUUUUAAUUGUGGACUUGUAUGAAUGGUUUGAUGAAAUAUUUACUUUCUUUAUAUAAAAUUAACUAAUUUAAUUUUUUAGUUAAAAAGCUGAAAUAGUUUUAGAGGACGAGAAGACCCUAUAGAAUUUUAUAUUUUAAUUAUUAAUUUAUUUUUGGUUAUUUAAUUUAUUAUUAUAUAUUAGAAUAUUUUGUUGGGGUGACAGGGAAAUUUAUUUAACUUUCUUUAUUUAUAUUUUAUUAAUAUAUAUAUUAAUGAUCCUAUUUUAUGGAUUUUAAGAUUAAAUUACCUUAGGGAUAACAGCGUAAUUUCUUUGGAGAGUUCUUAUCGAUAAUGAAGUUUGCGACCUCGAUGUUGGAUUAAAAUUAGUAUUAGGUGUAGAAGCUUAAUUUACUAGGUCUGUUCGACCUUUAAAUUUUUACG